RNAcentral lists this ribosomal RNA (496 nucleotides) under uncultured bacterium. RNAcentral's name for it is "partial 16S ribosomal RNA". It matches the Rfam family "Bacterial small subunit ribosomal RNA", at positions 28 to 507 of the family's 1533-position model. The record is from RNAcentral.
GAUGAACGCUGGCGGCGUGCCUAAUACAUGCAAGUCGAGCGAACAGAUGAGGAGCUUGCUCCUCUGACGUUAGCGGCGGACGGGUGAGUAACACGUGGAUAACCUACCUAUAAGACUGGGAUAACUUCGGGAAACCGGAGCUAAUACCGGAUAAUAUAUUGAACCGCAUGGUUCAAUAGUGAAAGACGGUUUUGCUGUCACUUAUAGAUGGAUCCGCGCCGCAUUAGCUAGUUGGUAAGGUAACGGCUUACCAAGGCAACGAUGCGUAGCCGACCUGAGAGGGUGAUCGGCCACCCUGAACUGAGACACGGUCCAGACUCCUACGGGAGGCAGCAGUAGGGAAUCUUCCGCAAUGGGCGAAAGCCUGACGGAGCAACGCCGCGUGAGUGAUGAAGGUCUUCGGAUCGUAAAACUCUGUUAUUAGGGAAGAACAAAUGUGUAAGUAACUAUGCACGUCUUGACGGUACCUAAUCAGAAAGCCACGGCUAACUACGUG